GAUGAACGCUAGCGGCAGGCCUAAUACAUGCAAGUCGAACGGUGUCUUCGGACAUAGUGGCGCACGGGUGCGUAACACGUAUGCAACCUACCUUACAUUGGGGGAUAGCCUUUCGAAAGGGAGAUUAAUACCGCAUAAGACAGUAACUGGGCAUCCAGUAGCUGUUAAAGAUUUAUCGAUGUAAGAUGGGCAUGCGACCAAUUAGUUAGUUGGCGAGGUAACGGCUCACCAAGACUAUGAUUGGUAGGGGAACUGAGAGGUCAAUCCCCCACACUGGCACUGAGAUACGGGCCAGACUCCUACGGGAGGCAGCAGUAGGGAAUAUUGGGCAAUGGACGCAAGUCUGACCCAGCCAUGCCGCGUGCAGGAUGAAGGCGUUAUGCGUCGUAAACUGCUUUUAUACAGGAAGAAACGACUCUUGCGAGAGGCAUUGACGGUACUGUAUGAAUAAACACCGGCUAACUCCGUGCCAGCAGCCGCGGUAAUACGGAGGGUGCAAGCGUUGUCCGGAUUUAUUGGGUUUAAAGGGUGCGCAGGUGGUUUAUUAAGUCAGUGGUGAAAGACGGUCGCUCAACGAUUGCAGUGCCAUUGAAACUAGUAGACUUGAGUAAAGUAGAGGUGGGCGGAAUUGAUAGUGUAGCGGUGAAAUGCAUAGAUAUUAUCAAGAACUCCAAUUGCGUAGGCAGCUCACUUGGCUUUUACUGACACUCAUGCACGAAAGUGUGGGUAUCAAACAGGAUUAGAUACCCUGGUAGUCCACACUGUAAACGAUGAUAACUAGGUGUCGGCCGAAUCUGGUCGGUGCCACAGCGAAAGCGUUAAGUUAUCCACCUGGGGAGUACGCCGGCAACGGUG
This 855-nucleotide ribosomal RNA is filed under the name uncultured bacterium. RNAcentral describes it as "bacterial SSU rRNA". It matches the Rfam family "Bacterial small subunit ribosomal RNA", at positions 28 to 896 of the family's 1533-position model. The record is from RNAcentral.